GAAGGGCCGAGCGUUGCGCGGAAUCAUUGGGCUUAAAGGGGUGCGUAGGCGGACUUGUAAGUGCUUUGUGAAAGCCCCUGGGCUCAACCGGGGAAUUGCUUAGUAGACUGCAAGUCUUGAGGUCGGUAGAGGUUGUCGGAACCAUAGGUGUAGCGGUGAAAUGCGUAGAUAUCUAUGGGAACGCCGAAGGAGUAAUCAGGCAACUGGGCCGAUUCUGACGCUGAGGCACGAAAGCGUGGGUAGCGAAGAGGAUUAGAUACCCUCGUAGUCCACGCCCUAAACGAUGUGCACUAGGUCUUGGAGGUUCUGACACCUGCAGGGCCGACGUUAAAACAAUAAGUGCACCGCCUGGGGAGUACGGUCGCAAGAUUA
This 372-nucleotide ribosomal RNA is filed under the name uncultured organism. Its description in RNAcentral is "partial 16S ribosomal RNA". It matches the Rfam family "Bacterial small subunit ribosomal RNA", at positions 528 to 896 of the family's 1533-position model. The record is from RNAcentral.